GAUGAACGCUGGCGGCGUGCCUAAUACAUGCAAGUCGAGCGAAUGGAUUAAGAGCUUGCUCUUAUGAAGUUAGCGGCGGACGGGUGAGUAACACGUGGGUAACCUGCCCAUAAGACUGGGAUAACUCCGGGAAACCGGGGCUAAUACCGGAUAACAUUUUGAACCGCAUGGUUCGAAAUUGAAAGGCGGCUUCGGCUGUCACUUAUGGAUGGACCCGCGUCGCAUUAGCUAGUUGGUGAGGUAACGGCUCACCAAGGCAACGAUGCGUAGCCGGCCUGGGAGGGUGAUCGGCCACACCGGGACUGAGACACGGCCCAGACUCCUACGGGAGGCAGCAGUAGGGAAUCUUCCGCAAUGGGCGAAAGUCUGACGGAGCAACGCCGCGUGAGUGAUGAAGGCUUUCUGGUCGUAAAACUCUGUUGUUAGGGAAGAACAAGUGCUAGUUGAAUAAGCUGGCACCUUGACGGUACCUAACCAGAAAGCCACGGCUAACUACGUGCCAGCCGCCGCGGUAA
RNAcentral lists this ribosomal RNA (515 nucleotides) under uncultured bacterium. RNAcentral describes it as "partial 16S ribosomal RNA". It matches the Rfam family "Bacterial small subunit ribosomal RNA", at positions 28 to 523 of the family's 1533-position model. The record is from RNAcentral.